RNAcentral lists this ribosomal RNA (468 nucleotides) under uncultured bacterium. RNAcentral's name for it is "partial 16S ribosomal RNA". It matches the Rfam family "Bacterial small subunit ribosomal RNA", at positions 28 to 507 of the family's 1533-position model. The record is from RNAcentral.
GACGAACGCUGGCGGCGGGCUUAACACAUGCAAGUCGAACGGAAAGGCCCUGCUUUUGUGGGGUUCUCGAGUGGCGAACGGGUGUGUAACACAGGAGUAUCCUCGCCUGUGGUGUGUGAUAACUUCAAGAGACUGGUGCUAAUACAGGAUACGAGCUCCUGCUGCAUGGGGGUGGUUGGAAAUUUUAGGCUGUUGGGGAUCGACUGGCGGCUUAUCAGCUUGUUGGUGGGGUAGUGGCUUACGAAGGGAUUGGAGGGUAGUCGGCCUGGGAGGGUGGCCAGGCACAAUGGUCCUGAGAUACGGCGCAGUCUCCUAUGGGGGGCAGCAGGGGAGAAUCUGGCCCAGUCGGCGCACGUGUGUGGCGAAGACGCUGCGUGUGGGAAGACGGCCUACGGGUUGUGAACCGCUUUAGCCUAUGACGAAGCGGGAGUGACGGUAACGGGUAAAGAAGCACCGGCUAACUACGUG